AACCCUCCGUUCGUCGUCGUCGUCAUUCAUUACGAAAGAGCAGAGAAACAUUGUAGAUCAGAGAGAGAGAAAGCAAUGGCGGUUGGGAUUCGGCUAUGGAGCUGCAUCUUCUUUGCCUUAGUGAUAAUCUGCUCCGCUCGCAACAUCAUCCCUCUUGUUCCAGGGGACGAUGAGAUGGCGGUGGUUGUUACAGGAGGAAGGUACCUGAAAGCCAACACCGACGACUACAGAGACCCUUCGGCGAGCCACGAGCACGAUCCCCGCAACAGAAUAGGUAGCGGCAACGGUGGCAUUCGGAGGAAUGGAGAAACUCCAUGACCACCAACAACAACUCCACACCGCUGUACUACGAAUUCUGCUACGUAUAUUAUUAAACAUAGAAGUAAAUACUUGAGAGGUUUUGGACUUUGGUUUCCCAAAACCCUAAUAAAGAAAGGGAAAUAUGCUCUCGUUUUGUAUGCAAGGGGGCUGUCACCAUUGCUAUUACUUAUUAAGUAUUUGAGAUGUGUGCGCUCCAUCGGGCCGAGUAUGUUAUAUGCAUUGUUGUUUGUUGGUAGGCUCUUCAGAUUUUUAUUUUAUAUGACCCAGACCGACCACUCGACCAGUCUCUUAUCUCAUUGUUUAACAGCUUAAUUACUUAUAUGGAGUCUUGUAUUAACUAUCCGUUUCGUCUA
Molecule: long non-coding RNA, 674 nt
Organism: Nelumbo nucifera (sacred lotus)
Lineage: Eukaryota; Viridiplantae; Streptophyta; Magnoliopsida; Proteales; Nelumbonaceae
Source: RefSeq, a predicted model, not a curated record